Molecule: ribosomal RNA, 468 nt
Filed under: uncultured bacterium
Lineage: Bacteria
Description: partial 16S ribosomal RNA
Rfam family: Bacterial small subunit ribosomal RNA
Source: RNAcentral
GACGAACGCUGGCGGCGUGCUUAACACAUGCAAGUCGAACGGAAAGGCCCUGCUUGUGUGGGGUGCUCGAGUGGCGAACGGGUGUGUAACACGUGAGUAACCUGCCCUUGACUUUGGGAUAACUUGAGGAAACUGGGGCUAAUACCGGAUAGGAGCUCCUGCUGCAGGGUGGGGGUUGGAAAGUUUCGGCGGUUGGGGAUGGACUCGCGGCUUAUCAGCUUGUUGGUGGGGUAGUGGCUUACCAAGGCUUUGACGGGUAGCCGGCCUGAGAGGGUGACCGGCCACAUUGGGACUGAGAUACGGCCCAGACUCCUACGGGAGGCAGCAGUGGGGAAUAUUGCACAAUGGGCGGAAGCCUGAUGCAGCAACGCCGCGUGCGGGAUGACGGCCUUCGGGUUGUAAACCGCUUUCGCCUGUGACGAAGCGUGAGUGACGGUAAUGGGUAAAGAAGCACCGGCUAACUACGUG